This is a long non-coding RNA of Lolium rigidum, 457 nucleotides long. RefSeq lists it as uncharacterized. Lineage: Eukaryota; Viridiplantae; Streptophyta; Magnoliopsida; Poales; Poaceae. The transcript has 3 exons. The record is from RefSeq and is a predicted model, not a curated record.
UGACGCUUUAUACUUCUCUAUCUCACUAAUUAGUUACAUCAUGAGGAGAUAAGUUGUUGGUCGAUAGAACCAUAGUGUGCUCAGCCAUUUUCCUGGCAAAUAAGGGCUGAAGUGUUUCUUCUUCUGAAAGUUGGAAAUGAUUCCCACUGAUUACGGUUGCCGCUCCGCUCCUUCCUCCGUGCGGCGCAUGGUUUUGAGAGAGCUGACAGGAAUGAACAAGAAAGAAGAAAUGUGGAGAGCACCAGGACUAGGCCUGCAGCCAUGGUGACCUUCAACGCCUGGGAGUGGCAAGCUGAAGCAUGUCCAAUGCUCUACAGGACAAAACAACACAUCGUUGUGCACGCCACAUGCAUAUGUUGGCCUUAGACAUCACUUGCCCAAAUUCAAGAGAGGAGCCAAGGUAUUUUUGUAUACAUUGUGCUGUUAUUCAGCAAGCAACCUACAUCUUUUAUCGCUU